This is a long non-coding RNA of Puntigrus tetrazona (Sumatra barb), 589 nucleotides long. RefSeq lists it as uncharacterized. Lineage: Eukaryota; Metazoa; Chordata; Actinopteri; Cypriniformes; Cyprinidae. The record is from RefSeq and is a predicted model, not a curated record. The transcript has 4 exons.
GCUGCUUCGAUAGGCAGCAGCAGUCAUCCACAGUAUAAGGCCAUUCUCACAGAAAAGAUUUCUUUCUCUUGGCUAGUUAUGCUGAAUGGCCAUGUUGAUUCGAUUGGAGACCAGUGCAUGUUAACACAACAUUAUAUCGUCCGUGCAACCACAAAACAAAACAGAAUAAAAACCGCUGAAAACGGAGAGCGGAGGUUAUAGGACAGCUUAAGAACACUAAAGGGUUUUAAAUCUAUCUCCAUCCCCCUCUCUUUCCUUCUCUCAGCUGCCCAAACAACAAGGCCUGAAAAAGAUUGCAGUUCAUUUCAAAGCGCAGUGGAUGGAGGCCUCAUUUACGCGCUCCUGGCAACUCAAUCAGGCCAGCCAGCCCUGAUGAACUCUCUCUCUCUCAUGGCCGACUGGGCUGGAGUGUCCCCAGUGUCCUCUAUUACCCAGCGCCCCACUGAACAUGCUCUGCAGUCUGCUGACCUCCUGCCCUGCCUGUCACCCUGAUGGCUACUGUUAUCCCAGGCUACUUAUUUCACCAAAACGGCCUUUUGUUCCUCCUUGUAUUGAAAACAUCAAGCCAAGCCAAUUACAGGCAUAAACA